AUUGAACGCUGGCGGCAGGCUUAACAUAUGCAAGUUGAGCGGGGUGAUGGUGCUUGCACUAUCACUUAGCGGCGGACGGGUGAGUAAUGCUUAGGAAUCUGCCUAUUAGUGGGGGACAACAUCUCGAAAGGGAUGCUAAUACCGCAUACGUCCUACGGGAGAAAGCAGGGGAUCACUUGUGACCUUGCGCUAAUAGAUGAGCCUAAGUCGGAUUAGCUAGUUGGAGGGGUAAAGGCCUACCAAGGCGACGAUCUGUAGCGGGUCUACCAGGAUGACCAGAACCACUGGGCCGUUUACACGGCCCAGACUCCUACGGGAGGCAGCAGUGGGGAAUAUUGGACAAUGGGGGGAACCUGAUCCAGCCAUGCCGCGUGUGUGAAGAAGGCCUUAGGGUUGUAAAGCACUUUAAGCGAGGAGGAGGCUCUUUUGGUUAAUGCCCAAGAUGAGUGGACGUUACUCGCAGAAUAAGCACCGGCUAACUCUGUGCCAGCAGCCGCGUAA
RNAcentral lists this ribosomal RNA (501 nucleotides) under uncultured bacterium. Its description in RNAcentral is "partial 16S ribosomal RNA". It matches the Rfam family "Bacterial small subunit ribosomal RNA", at positions 30 to 522 of the family's 1533-position model. The record is from RNAcentral.